UGAGUUUUUCCCAUUAUGGCGGAGGGGCCAGCCGCACGGAUGGACUGUCUCUCCCACUCUGAGGCUUGUUUUGUGUCUUGAGGGAGGGCGUUUUAUAUUUUUAAUUUUUCUACACUUUACCUUCCUCUUUGACUGCACUGCACUCUGUGUGUUUAUCGGCGGAAUGAUGGCGGACCGCAGCGUGAAUGUGUCCGCCCUGCCGAAAGAGGCUCGGGACCAGCUGGCGGAGUUGGACCUGGAGCUGUCUGAAGGUUACAUAACACAGAAG
Molecule: long non-coding RNA, 268 nt
Organism: Notothenia coriiceps (black rockcod)
Lineage: Eukaryota; Metazoa; Chordata; Actinopteri; Perciformes; Nototheniidae
Exons: 3
Source: RefSeq, a predicted model, not a curated record